Molecule: long non-coding RNA, 2324 nt
Filed under: Sitophilus oryzae (rice weevil)
Lineage: Eukaryota; Metazoa; Arthropoda; Insecta; Coleoptera; Curculionidae
Description: uncharacterized LOC115891409
Source: RNAcentral
GAAUCUGACAACGUUGACAGUGCUUCAUUUUCCGUUUUUAGCAAGAUGUCCUCAUGACGCUCUUAAAAUUUUUCUGAUUUUUUGUUAGAAAAAGUGAUUAUUCUGGAUAAUAUUUGAGUGUAUUGUGUUCCCUAAGGCCUGUUUAAUCUCCUGAAAAUGAGCGUUAUUAAUAAUACACACCAGCACAUAAAGACCAUUUAAAAGAAGAGACUGGGGCCACCCCUUGUAUAAUCCUGAUGUUUAGCUAUCAUUCUGGUUUAUGAGUUGUUUUUCUAUUAUCUGGCUAAAAAUUAUCUACAACAAAUCAAUAAAUGUAUACAGUUCCAAGGCAGUACAUUUAUCCUUUUUACAAAUAUUAUCAGCAAUGGUAUCAGGACUUAUAAGUAUAUCUAAAAUUUUACAUCUUUUGGGUAAAUAUAUACUGGUUUUUAAUGGUUUUCAUUGGAUUUCAUGAUUUCUAAAUUUCUAAAGUAGGAAAAAAUUCCAAUGAGUCUCUGAGUUACAUUUUUAUGGUUCCUUAUUGUCAUGGGAAAAUUCAGAACAUCUAUUUUUAAUUUGGACCAAUUUUUCGCUUUUUAUUCUUCGAUCACUCCUUAUUUCUUUUGGGAGAAUAUCAUCUAUUUAGAACUUUUCGUUUCAUGUUGUUUUUGGUUACCUUUCCUUUCUCUAUAAUAGCUUGAUUUUUCAUUGAUUCCAAAAGAUAUUUCAUUGAUUGUAUAUUUCUAUAAGUCUUCUUUUACUUGUAUUAUUUUUCUGAUGGUGUUAUUUAAUAGCUUUUGCUUGUGUAAUUCCUUGUACAAAAUUUCAGUUUUGAUGGAUUCAUUUCCAUGUCAUUUUUUCAGAUCAUAUGCCAUGAAUUUCUGCCAUUUUACUUAUUCUAUUGCUUUAGUUUGUGUGUGUUAAAAUAUAAUUUAAACACACUUAAAAAUCUGAGGACUAAUUUCUGACCAAUUCCUGGCGCAUUCGCCAUUUAUUUAAAAACCUGACUAGGUCACAGGAUAUCACUUCUACUUUUCCUAGCAUUUUUCCAAUUAAUUUUCCUGAGUAACAUCGACUCCAGAGCAUCAUAACUAGCUUCCCCAAAGAGGAGGAGACCCGGAUCACCCCCUAACCCGGUUGUUCGGGCAUCGAUGACCUAUGUAGCAUGCACAGGUACCCAAGGGAGUCACCACCCUCUGGUUUACGAGCUAGGUGUUCUAACGCUAGAGGCUUCGGCCGGAUACGACCUGGCACCCAAGCUCCGAGACUUCUUCGUGCACGUAUUCCGUGACCCUCGAAGAGGCAGGGGGCGGGAUAUCGGACACAUUGAAGAUGAUGAGGGGGGUCCGCCUGUAGGGGGUCCCGGUGGAUGUCCGCUCGAUGGGUGACGAGGGUGACCCGAGACGAGGCUGCUUAGCUGGGAUGGGAACUGACUGGCGAGGCUUAAUCGUCGGACAAGGGUUAAAUCUGAUGAAGGGGGGCGACCUUAUAUGCUCUGGAGGAUUUUUUCUUGAUGUUCUUGAUGUCAAAUUUUGACUAGAUAUUGCUGAGAGCAUAUCUUUUUGUCCAUGUUCCAGUUCUUAUUCACUACAUACCUCUUUAUUUUUUUUAAUAUCAUCUAAAACCAUUCUCCAUCUUGCUUUUGGCCUACCUCUAUUUCACUGUUUUUGUCUGCCAUAUUUUCUUUAUUAUUGGAAUAUUAUCAUUCAUCAAUUCUAUAAACUAUCCCAAUGAUUGCUAUAUAUACAUAUUUAUAUUAUUUUAGUUAUUCUUGUGAGACGUUUCUAAGACCUAUUUUCUUGAUUCUAUUGCCUGUAUAAAAUGACAGCUAUUUUUUAAUCAUUUUCAUGUCAUUUUUCAAUCCAUAAUAUUUCUACUUCAUUAUUUGUCUCUCAUAUUUUCUUUAUUAUUGGAAAUAUCACCUUUUAUACAUUCUAUAAACUCUUCUAUUGCUUGUCUUAUUUGUGUUAUUCCUUUAUGCUUCAGACUUUGUAUCCUUUUUUAUGUCAGACUUUUCUAAGACAUAGUAUUUUCACAUUUCUAUUGCCUGUAUAGAAUAAUGGCUUAUUUUUAUUCACUUCCUAGACUUCCAAGCCUUUGAUUAUGUUGCUUUUGAUGCCUACAUGGGAUUGUUUAGUUCUGGAUUUUUUUCUAAUUGAUUUUCUUUUAAUUCCUUUUAUAAUUGAGUUUUUGAAUGGGGUAUUGUACUGCUUUGGAACCAGGAUUUUUUGGGACAGCUGCACAGGAGGAAGCUAAAUAAUUUUAGGACCAAGACUUUUCCAGAGGGGUAGCCAGAAAAUUCAUUUACCACCACAUAGACAUCAGCAUGUCCAUCAACACCUUGG